RNAcentral lists this unclassified non-coding RNA (329 nucleotides) under soil metagenome. Its description in RNAcentral is "partial contains 5.8S ribosomal RNA, internal transcribed spacer 2, and large subunit ribosomal RNA". The stretch from base 1 to 120 matches the Rfam family "5.8S ribosomal RNA", at positions 35 to 154 of the family's 154-position model. The record is from RNAcentral.
GAUGAAGAACGCAGCGAAAUGCGAUAAGUAAUGUGAAUUGCAGAAUUCAGUGAAUCAUCGAAUCUUUGAACGCUCAUUGCGCCCCCUGGUAUUCCGGGGGGCAUGCCUGUCCGAGCGUCAUUACAACCCUCAAGCUCAGCUUGGUAUUGGGCCCCGCCGACCCGGCGGGCCCUAAAGUCAGUGGCGGUGCCGUCCGGCUCCGAGCGUAGUAAUUCUUCUCGCUCUGGAGGUCCGGUCGUGUGCUCGCCAGCAACCCCCAAUUUUUUUCAGGUUGACCUCGGAUCAGGUAGGGAUACCCGCUGAACUUAAGCAUAUCAAUAAGCGGAGGA